UAAGCCCUGAAAAUCUGUCCAAAGAGGAUGAGUUUUGCUAGAAUGGGCUUCCCUGGUGGCACAGUGGUUAAGAAUCUACCUGCCAAUGCAGAGGACACAGGUUUGAGCCCUGGUCCAGGAAGAUCCCACACACCGCAGAGCAACUAAGCCCACGCACCACAAGUACCGAGCCUCUGCUCUAGAGCCUGUGAGCCACAACUACUGAGCCCACACAACACAACUACUGAAGCCCGUGUGCCUACAGCCUGUGCUCUGCAACAAGAGAAGCCAUCACAAUGAGAAGCCCGCACACUGCAACGAAGAGUACCCCCUGCUCACCGUGACUACAGAAAGCCCAUGCAUAGCAACGAAGACCCAACACAGCCAAAAAGGAUCUGGGAAGAUGGUGGAAGAGUAAGAGGCGGAGAUCACCUUCCUCCCCACAGAUACAUCAGAAAUACAUCUACACGUGGAACAACUCCUACAGAACACCCACUGAACACUGGCAGAAGACCUCAGACCUCCCAAAAGGCAAGAAACUCCCCACGUACCUGGGUAGAGCAAAAGAAAAAAGAAUAAACAGAGACAAAAGAAUAGGGACGGGACCUGCACCAGUGGGAGGGAGCUGUGAAGGAGGAAAGGUUUCCACACACUAGAAGCCCCUUCAAGGGCGGAGAUGGUGGGGGGCGGAGGGGGGAAACUUCGGAGCUGCAGGGAGAGUGCAGCAAUAGGGGUGCAGAGGGCAAAGCGGAGAGAUUCCUGCACAGAAGAUCGGUGCUGACCAGCACUCACCAGCCCAAGAGGCUUGUCUGCUCACCCGCCGGGACAGGCGGGGGCUGGGAGCUAAGGCUCAGGCUUUGGUUGGAUCCCAGGGAGAGGACUGGCAGUGUGAAAACAGCCUGAAGGGGUUAGUGCACCACGGCUAGCCAGAAGGGAGUCCAGAAAAAGUCUGAACCUGCCGAAGAGGCAAGAGACUUUUUCUUCCCUCUGUUUCCUGGUGGGCGAGGAGAGGGGAUUAAGAGCGCUGCUUAAAGGAGCUCCAAAGACGGGCAUGAGCUGCGUCUAUCAAUCAGCGUGGACCCAAGAGACAGGCAGGAGAUGCUAAGGCCGCUGCUGCCACCAUCAAGAAGCCUGUAUGCGAGCACAGGUCACUCUCCACACCUCCCCUCCCAGGAGCCUGUGCAGCCCACACUGCCAGGGUCCCGGGAUCCAGGGACAACUUCCCCAGGAGAAUGCACGGUGCGCCUCAGGCUGGUGCAAUGUGUGCUGGCCUCUGCUGCUGCAGGCUCGCCCUGCAAUCCGUGCCCCUCCCUCCCCAGGCCUGAGUGAGCCAGAGCCCCCGAAUCAGCUGCUCCUUUAACCCCAUCCUGUCUGAGCGAAGAACAGACACCCUCUGGCGACCUAUACGCAGAGGCGGGGCCAAAUCCAAAGCUGAACCCCGGGAGCUGUGCAAACAAAGAAGAGAAAGGGAAAUUUCUCCCAGCAGCCUCAGGAGCAGCGGAUUAAAUCUCCACAAUCAACUUGAUGUACCCUGCAUCAGUGGAAUACCUGAAUAGACAACGAAUCAUCCAAAAUUGAGGUGGACUUUGAGAGCAAGAUAUAUUAUUUUUUCCCCUUUUCCUCUUUUUGUGAGUGUGUAUGUGUAUGCUUCUGUGUGAGAUUUCGUCUGUAUACCUUUGCUUUCACCAUUUGUCCCAGGGUUCUGUCAUCCGUUUUUUGUUGGCUUUUUUUAACUUAAAAACAUUUAUUUUCUCUCUCUCUCUCUACGUUUUCUCCCUUUUAUUCUGAGCCAUGUGGAUGAAAGGCUCUUGGUGCUGCAGCCAGGAGUCAGUGCUGUGCCUCUGAGGUGGGAGAGCCAACUUCUGAACACUGGUCCACAAGAGAAAUCCCAGCUCCAUGUAAUAUCAAAUGGUGAAAAUCUCCCAGAGAUCUCCAUCUCAACACUAAAACCCAGCUUCACUCAACGACCAGCAAGCUACAGUGCUGGACACCCUAUGCCAAACAACUAGCAAGACAGGAACACAACCGCACCCAUUAGCAGAGAGGCUGCCUAAAAUCAUAAUAAGGCCAGAGACACCCCAAAACACACCACCAGACGUGGACCUGCCCACCAGAAAGACAAGAUCCAGCCUCAUCCACCAGAACACAGGCACUAGUAUCCUCCACCAGGAAGCCUACACAACCCACUGAACCAACUUUAGCCACUGGGGACAGACACCAAAAACAACGGGAACUACAAACCUGCAGACUGCAAAAAGGAGACCCCAAACACAGUAAGAUAAGCAAAAUGAAAAGAGAAAAACACACAGCAGAUGAAGAAGCAAGGUAAAAACCCACCUGACCAGACAAAUGAAGAGGAAAUAGGCAGUCUACCUGAAAAAAAGAAUCCAGAAUAUUGACAGUAAAGAUGAUCCAGAAUCUUGGAAAACAGAAUAGACAAAAUGCAAGAAACAUUUAACAAGGACCUAGAAGAACUAAAGAGGAAGCAAGCAAUGAUGAACAACACAAUAAAUGAAAUUAAAAAUACUCUAGAUGGCAUCAAUAGAAGAAUAACUGAGGCAGAAGAACGGAUAAGUGACCUGGAAAAUAAAACAGUGGAAAUAACUACUGCACAGGAGAAUAAAGAAAAAAGAAUGAAAAGAACUGAGGACAGUCUCAGAGACCUCUGGGACAUUUAACGCACCAACAUUCGAAUUAUAGGGGUCCCAGAAGAAGAAGAGAAAAAGAAAGGGACUGAGACAAUAUUUGAAGACAUAAUAGUUGAAAACUUCCCUAAUAUGGGAAAGGAACUAGUUAAUCAAGUGCAGGAAGCACAGAGAGUCCCAUACAGGAAAAAUCCAAGGAGAAACACGCCAAGACACAUAUUAAUCAAACUGUCAAAAAUUUAAUACAAAGAAAACACAUUAAAGGCAGCAAGGGAAAAACAACAAAUAACACACAAGGGAAUACCCAUAAGGUUAAUAGCUGAUCUUGCAGCAAGAACUCUGCAAGCCAGAAGGGAGUGGAAGGACAUAUUUAAAGUGAUGAAGGAGAAAAACCUACAACCAAGAUUACUCUACCCAGCAAGGAUCUCAUUCAGAUUUGAUGGAGAACUUAAAACCUUUACAGAUAAGCAAAAGCUGAGAGUUCAGCACCACCAAAUCAGCUUUACAAAUGCUAAAGGAACUUCUCUAGGCAAGAAACACAAGAGAAGGAAAAGACCUACAAGAACAAACCCAAAACAAUUACGUAAAUCGUAAUAGGAACAUACGUAUCGAUAAUUACCUUAAAUAUAAAUGGAUUAAAUGUUCCCACCAAAAGACACAGACUGGCUGAAUGGAUACAAAAACAAGACCCAUAUAUAUGCUGUCUACAAGAGACCCACUUCACACCUAAGGACACAUACAGACUGAAAGUGAGGGGAUGGAAAAAGAUAUUCCAUGCAAAUGGAAAUCAGAAGAAAGCUGGAGUAGCAAUUCUCAUAUCAGACAAAAUAGACUUCAAAAUAAAAACUAUUACAAGAGACAAAGAAGGACACUAUAUAAUGAUCAAGGGAUCGAUCCAUGAAGAAGAUAUAACAAUUGUAAAUAUUUAUGCACCCAACAUAGGAGCACCUCAAUACAUAAGGCAAAUACGAACAGCCAUAAAAGGGGAAAUUGACAGUAACACAAUCAUAGCAGGGGAUUUUAACACCCCACUUUCACCAAUGGACAGAUCAUCCAAAAUGAAAAUAAAUAAGGAAACACAAGCUUUAAAUGAUACAUUAUACAAGAUGGACUUAACUGAUAUUUAUAGGACAUUCCAUCCAAAAACAACAGAAUACAGAUUUUUCGCAAGUGCUCAUGGAACAUUCUCCAGGAUAGAUCAUAUCUUGGUUCACAAAUCAAGCCUUGAAAAUUUAAGAAAACUGAAAUCGUUAUCAAGUAUCUUUUCCGACCACAAUGCUAUGAGACUAGAUGUCAAUUACAGGAAAAGAUCUUUAAAAAAUACAAACACAUGGAGGCUAAACAAUACACUACUUAAUAACGAAGUGAUCACUGAAGAAAUCAAAGAGGAAAUCAAAAAAUACUUAGAAACAAAUGACAAUGGAGACACGACGACCCAAAACCUAUGGGACACAG
This is a long non-coding RNA of Physeter macrocephalus (sperm whale), 4079 nucleotides long. RefSeq lists it as uncharacterized. NCBI's taxonomy places the organism in Eukaryota, Metazoa, Chordata, Mammalia, Artiodactyla, Physeteridae. The record is from RefSeq and is a predicted model, not a curated record. The transcript is spliced from 3 exons.